Molecule: unclassified non-coding RNA, 1191 nt
Filed under: Hevea brasiliensis (rubber tree)
Lineage: Eukaryota; Viridiplantae; Streptophyta; Magnoliopsida; Malpighiales; Euphorbiaceae
Source: RNAcentral
UGGAAAAAGGAAGAAAGUUAAGGAAAUGACCUAACCAAAAGUACGAAGAUCCACCCUCCAUUAAGGCCUUUCUACUUUUUUCACUCAUUUCCUUAACUUUCUUCCUUUUUCCAGUAUCGGGCUCCAUCAAACACCUUAUUCCUCUCUCUAUUUCAUCACACUUCACAAUUAUUUCACUGUCCUUACUAUAAUCUAUUUUAAUCUCCACUGCUAAUCCUAACUCAAACACCAUCUCGAAUGCAUUAAGUUGUUGCUCUGAAUAUAUUGGCCACGCGGCGAUUGGAACCCCAAACCAUAUGCUCUCCAGCACAGAAUUCCACCCGCAAUGCGAUACAAAACCUCCCACAGCUUGAUGGGCCAAGAUGGCAACUUGUGGAGCCCACCCAAUCACCUUUCCAAUUCCAGCUGUUCGAUCCAAGAAUCCUUCAGGCAAAACCUCUUGUGGAUCCUCAUAGUCACUCGGAGAUGCUAGUUUUCCCGGAGGUGGUGGUCGGCGGAGGGCCCACAAGAAUCGAUACCCACUGUGUUCUAGCGCACAUGCAAUCUCUUUUACUUGAUCCUCGCUAAAACUUCCCAUGCUUCCAAAACACAAGAACACUACUGAUGAAAGAGGUUGGUUGUCAAGCCAUUGCAUUAUUUCCUGGGGUGCGUUGCUUCCGACCGACCCAAUAUCCAAAAUGGGUCCCACAGGAUACACAGGAGGCAUUUUUAAAGACUGAAUCGCAUAGGAUUCGAACUCCAAAAAUGUAUUUACGAUGAUACCCUUAACUUCUCUAUACCUUCUUGCAUUCUCUAAUGUAGGAGAAAGCAACUCUCUUCUUAACAUCGCAUAAGGCAUAACCCUUGCAGGAAAUGGGUUUACUAAGCUCGGUACUGGUAACUCAGCAUCCGAGUUCUUGAACUCAAUGGGGUCAAAUUUCUCUUCAUCAUGAAUCUUCUGUAAAUAAAGCAUGAGACCAAGAAAAGCUGCACUUGAAGUAAAGUAAAUGUAAGACGGAACAUCAAAGUCGUUAGCCACAUCAAUCAUCGGCGCGCAAAACAGAUCUAAAACAAAACCUCCCAGUCGAGGUGAAGGCGAGUCAGUGGUCGACUCUGAUUGAAUGAUCUUUAACACAGCUUCUUUAACAUGGGGUUUCUGUCUCUCGAUAAAAGAAGUGAAAUUAAAUAAUUCAGGCUCAUCUUUCGGCAAAA